UGUUAUUUAUUUCAAUUUUAGGGGGAUAAAGUGAGACUCCUUAAAUCCAGUGGUGCUGCAAAAACUGUCUGGCAACCAGAAGUUACCAUACUUCAAGAACUGAAAAAAAAGUUAGAAGUUGCUCAGAAAACUGCAGUUGUUCAGAAAAAAACAGUUCAAAUUAUCACAAUGGAUGCAGAAAAAGUUAAAAAACUUGAACAGGAGGUAGCCAAACAAGCUUUAGAGGUGAGGAAGCUCAAGGAAGGAGGAGCAAAUAAAUCACUAUGGGCUCCAGAGGUUGAGAAACUUCUAGCGUUGAAGAGUCGGUUAGCAGAGGCUACUGGCUCUACUUUGAAAGAUAUUCAAGGAGAUAAAAAGGGCAAGAAAUGAAGUUACACAGGAGUAAGAGAAUGUGUAUAAUUAUUAUUUAUUUCUAUGAGAACUAUUUUUUAUUUUGAUAGCCAGAAUAUUUAUUGAAAUACCCUAGGUAUUUAAAUCACCCAGUUUGGAUAAUUUCAGUUACGUUUGCUUAUUCCUAGUAUCGUUUUCUUAUGUUUCAAUUGUUCAUUGUUCUUUUCACUUUUAGAUAAUUUUAAACUAUUGACAUUUGUUUUCUGUCCGAUAUCAUUCCCUUGGUUAUUGCAGUAUGUAUCAGAGGUGAUAGGUGUAUACCGGACGACCAGUUCAGUAUUGUUGAAUGUUCCAAAACAAGAAAUAAAAAUUUCAUAUUCUUUUUGUUCGCAUCAACCAGUAGGCAUGGAUGAUCUUGUGACAAAUUUAUAAAAUUAAUAGAAGGCUGUGUGAAAUCUAUCAUUCUAUCUCGAUAGAAUGCUUUGGAAAUUUUCUUGCAUAUGUUAGUACUUUUUCUGAAAUAAUAUAUCACUUUCAUUUUAAUACAUUUUUUAGAAUAUAACUAAAUAACCAAGUUGUACUUGUAUUCACAGAAUAAAUAAUUCUUUAUUGGA
Molecule: long non-coding RNA, 944 nt
Organism: Leptinotarsa decemlineata (Colorado potato beetle)
Lineage: Eukaryota; Metazoa; Arthropoda; Insecta; Coleoptera; Chrysomelidae
Gene: MetRS
Source: RefSeq, a predicted model, not a curated record